Molecule: long non-coding RNA, 607 nt
Organism: Oncorhynchus keta (chum salmon)
Lineage: Eukaryota; Metazoa; Chordata; Actinopteri; Salmoniformes; Salmonidae
Exons: 7
Source: RefSeq, a predicted model, not a curated record
AGUAACCAGCAGGUAGUCUGGUGGUUAGAGCGUUGGGUCAGUAACCAGCAGGUAGUCUAGUGGUUAGAGCGUUGGGUCAGUAACCAGCAGGUAGUCUAGUGGUUAGAGCGUUGGGUCAGUAACCAGCAGGUAGUCUAGUGGUUAGAGCGUUGGGUCAGUAACCAGCAGGUAGUCUAGUGGUUAGAGCGUUGGGUCAGUAACCAGCAGGUAGUCUAGUGGUUAGAGCGUUGGGUCAGUAACCAGCAGGUAGCCUAGUGGUUAGAGUGUUGGGUCAGUAACCAGCAGGUAGUCUAGUGGUUAGAGCGUUGGGUCAGUAACCAGCAGGUAGUCUAGUGGUUAGAGCGUUGGGUCAGUAACCAGCAGGUAGUCUAGUGGUUAGAGCGUUGGGUCAGUAACCAGCAGGUAGUCUAGUGGUUAGAGCGUUGGGUCAGUAACCAGCAGGUAGUCUGGUGGUUAGAGCGUUGGGCCAGUAACCAGCAGGUAGUCUAGUGGUUAGAGCGUUGGGUCAGUAACCAGCAGGUAGUCUAGUGGUUAGAGCGUUGGGCCAGUAACCAGCAGGUAGUCUAGUGGUUAGAGCGUUGGGCCAGUAACCAGCAGGUAGACUAGU